This 480-nucleotide ribosomal RNA is filed under the name uncultured bacterium. RNAcentral's name for it is "partial 16S ribosomal RNA". It matches the Rfam family "Bacterial small subunit ribosomal RNA", at positions 29 to 507 of the family's 1533-position model. The record is from RNAcentral.
AUGCACGCUGGCGGCGUGCUUCACACCUGCAAGUCGAACGAAGCACUUUAUUUGAUUUCCUUCGGGACUGAUUAUUUUGUGACUGAGUGGCGGACGGGUGAGUAACGCGUGGGUAACCUGCCUUGUACAGGGGGAUAACAGUUGGAAACGGCUGCUAAUACCGCAUAAGCGCACAGCAUCGCAUGAUGCAGUGUGAAAAACUCCGGUGGUAUAAGAUGGACCCGCGUUGGAUUAGCUAGUUGGUGAGGUAACGGCCCACCAAGGCGACGAUCCAUAGCCGACCUGAGAGGGUGACCGGCCACAUUGGGACUGAGACACGGCCCAAACUCCUACGGGAGGCAGCAGUGGGGAAUAUUGCACAAUGGGCGAAAGCCUGAUGCAGCGACGCCGCGUGAGCGAAGAAGUAUUUCGGUAUGUAAAGCUCUAUCAGCAGGGAAGAUAAUGACGGUACCUGACUAAGAAGCACCGGCUAAAUACGUG